Molecule: long non-coding RNA, 3160 nt
Organism: Mauremys mutica (yellowpond turtle)
Lineage: Eukaryota; Metazoa; Chordata; Testudines; Geoemydidae
Exons: 3
Source: RefSeq, a predicted model, not a curated record
CCAGCUGAGGAAGGGCUGGAGGAAACAGAAUGCAGGGAGUCAAAAGGUGCCUGCAGGGUGUUGAGUGAGCACCCAGGGAACAGAUUGGGAGACCUAGAAGGGAAGGAAAGAGGUGAGGAAGGAAAUGGCCCAGGGAAAAUUGUAACAUGGGUAGAGGAUUUGAUUGAGCUGUGCAGUACAGAGCCCUGGGCUGUAACCUGAAAGUGAGGUUGGGACUGGAUUCCCCUACCAGCCCCAAGGAAGCGGUGUACAAAGGUAGCUGAGCCCAGAAAGGGGGCUGCAGUCUGAAUGUGACCUCGCUGAAGAAGGAGCUGUGGAGAGGCUGGAAGCUUUUUAUUUCUGUUAAAAUAGUUUUGAAUUUGAGUGUGGAUCGCUGACCCUGGAAGGAACAGGCUAAAGACUGUGCCUUGGCUGGAGGGGUGAGUUAUCUGCAAGAAACCACCCCAGCCCCAGAGUGACUGUUGACAAGGACACUGUGAUGCUCUGCCUGGCCAUGAGGAAGUGCAUAGUGGUCCUUUGGAAGAAAUGUCAUACAAAAUGAAAUCCAAGAUUGCCUACCUGGAACUUCUUUUUUGGAUGGGAUAAGUACUGCUGAUUCCAGGGACAAGAAUUGAAUGGGCCAUGAAGAAAAAUACCAUUUCACCUCUAUUGGCACUCCUUCCAUUGCAGAAUGAAAGAUCAUCCCACAUUACUCCUACUCAGAUGCAGUGUGUGACAUCUGUUUGGACUUCUAAGGAAGACACUCAUAUCCUCAUGGAUCAGACAAACUAAGCACCAGAGAUAAUGGUGGGGUAGGGAAGCCAGAGUCAAGCGGAGAAUAGCUGGACAUCAUGAUGAAAGUCAGAGAAAACCCAUCAAACCGAGGGCUCCCUGUUCUAAAGGAUAUGUUAAGACACCCCCUUGGCUAUUAGCAUUUGAGUGGGAGAACUAUCAUGGACUCUAAGGGCAUUGGAAAUGGUUAUAAAACAACAAGAAAAUAAAGAUUUACGCAGUACUGUAUAUAUUUGCCAGAAGUGAUUUGAACACCAGUAUAAUUCCUCCUAGCCCACUCCUACCCUGACACCUACGCAUUUUCAAAAAUGUGUUAAAUCAGAAAUGCCCCCCCGGUGUUCAAAUUCUGCCUUAAUUUCACCACACUUCUCCCUUCUCUGUAUUCUCCCUUCUCUGUAUUCCAUGGAGACCCCUCCUGCAACAACAGUAUUGCGGUGUUGUACAGUAGUGGCCCAAAACACUAGUGUAAAGUGUGGUGAUUUGGUUCAUUAGCAUUGAAUGCAGCAGUAUUUUAAAAUCACUCUCUCUUGGGUGAUAUAUGAAAGGGAAACAGUAAGUGGGAAAAGGCCUUAUGGCCAUCUUAUGUUAUGAUACUUUUAUAUCACAUGCAAUGCAAGGUUGAGGACUAUCUAGUUUUGCAGGAUUGGGUGCUGGUGAUUCAACAGGAAGCAUUGAUUCCUUUGAGUAAGUAUUAAACCAAUGGCCAGAACAGCAUCAAGGGCCCUGCUGGAGGAACUGUCUUUAUAGAUGAGAUGUAAAACUGCUAUCCUAUAAUCCCAUUUCUGCAAGAGUAGGAGUGUUUAAUCCUGGUACCCUGGUCAAAUUCCAGAUCAAGCAAUUACUAUCUGCUUCGCUGAAUCCCCCUGUAACUUCACAUGGUUAUCUCCUGCACUUCCUGCUUUAUUCUGUCAUGUAGAGUUCCUGUUCAGUGUUAAACACCUUGCUUGUUCUACCCCAGAGAUGGCUGAAUUUCAGAGGUGGGUGCAAUGUGUGUAUAGUCUAUAUAUUUUUGUAAAGUGGUUUGGGAGUCUUCAGGAUGAAAGGUGCUACAGAAAUAUAACAGAUGGUUAUAUGAUGCACGUAUAGUAGUUAGAACUGAAUCAUCAGGGUGUUUAGUGAGCAUUUCAGGAGAUAAUUAGAGGGUCCCAAAGUGAAGCUGAGCAGAUCUCAAUGAGAUACUCUGUCAGGCCAUUCCAAGGGCCUUUUCAGCAGCAUGGAAUUAAACUGCAAAGCCAUUUUUAUAAAGAAAAUAGUUAUUAUGUGAAGUAAGGUAUUUAGUUGACAGGUUUUUUUUUAAUUAUUUAACCCUUUCCUCUCCAAUUCCUAAGAAGGUUAAAUGCAUUUUCAGGAGGCAUCUUAUAUUGACCCCUUUAAUUGAUAGGAGAGCCGUAAUUCUACAGCGCCUCACAGAAACUGGAAAUCUCUCCAGACCUGUAGCUGAGUAUCUGUAUUUAAUGGAAAGUGCUUCAGAUUUAUGCCACUCCUAAAAUUCUCUUUGUUACAGUGCCCUGAGUUUGGGCUGUGGAUUCGGAGGCCUUAGCAAUCCUAGAAAAGUUUGCUGGUAUAGCUAUAUCAGUAUAGCUGUAUUGGCAAACCCACAUAGUAUAGAUACCAUUUAUACCAGCAUAUGCUUCUGCCAGCAUAGUUUAUACCAGUUGCCCAAGAGACAUAAGCUAUACUGCCAAAAGGACUUUUAUGCUGGUAUAAGGGCAUCUACACUAUCCUGGCAUAGCUUUAUUGUUAAAAAAAAAUCACACUCCUAACCAUUAUGGCUACACUGGUAUAAGUCUUAUCUGUUGACUAGGUCCUAAUAUGUUUCUAACAUGGUUGCUAGCUGCAAUCCUCAUCUGAAAUCUUCUUCUGAACAUGUCAGGUGUAUUGUAAAAGUCCAAGUAGAUCAGUAUUCUGCCCACUAAAGUUUUUGAAAAUUAAACAAAUAUUUGCUAUUUAAAUGCCUGUAGCCAGAAGGCAUAAAUCAUCACAUCAUGGAGUCUGUCUAUCUAAGUCAGUGGGUCUCAAACUUUUUUACUGGUGCCCCCUUUUCACAUUGCAAGCCUCUGAGUGUGACCCCCCCUAAUAAACACCCUUUUAAAUAGAUUUAACACCAUUAUAAAUGCUGGAGGCAAGCAGGGUUUGGGAUGGAGGUUGACAGCUCGCGACCCCCCAUAUAAUGACCUUGCAACUCCCUGAGGGGUUCUGACCCCCUGUUUGAGAACCCCUGAUCUAGGUACUAUAUGGGCCCCGUCAGUGAGGCGUCUGACCACCUGUCCUGACACCAGAAGAGUUCAGGUACUAAGUCUGAGCUCCAAAAUACCUACUGCCCCAGGCCCGUACCCUUAGACCCAGCCCUAAGUGUGUAGCCCUAUGACACAGCAAUGACUUGCUCCCU